Molecule: small nuclear RNA, 103 nt
Organism: Callithrix jacchus (white-tufted-ear marmoset)
Lineage: Eukaryota; Metazoa; Chordata; Mammalia; Primates; Cebidae
Source: Ensembl
GUGCUUGCUUGGCAGCACAUACACUAAAACUGGAACAAUACAGAGAUGAGCACAGCCCUUGCACAAGGAUGACAUGCAAAUUCCUUAAGCAUUCCAUAUUUUU